GACGAACGCUGGCGGCGUGCUUAACACAUGCAAGUCGAACGGAAAGGCCCUGCUUUUGUGGGGUGCUCGAGUGGCGAACGGGUGAGUAACACGUGAGUAACCUGCCCUUGACUUUGGGAUAACUUCAGGAAACUGGGGCUAAUACCGGAUAGGAGCUCCUGCUGCAUGGUGGAGGUUGGAAAGUUUCGGCGGUUGGGGAUGGACUCGCGGCUUAUCAGCUUGUUGGUGGGGUAGUGGCUUACCAAGGCUUUGACGGGUAGCCGGCCUGAGAGGGUGACCGGCCACAUUGGGACUGAGAUACGGCCCAGACUCCUACGGGAGGCAGCAGUGGGGAAUAUUGCACAACGGGCGGAAGCCUGAUGCAGCAACGCCGCGUGCGGGAUGACGGCCUUCGGGUUGUAAACCGCUUUCGCCUGUGACGAAGCGUGAGUGACGGUAAUGGGUAAAGAAGCACCGGCUAACUACGUGCCAGCAGCCGCGGUGAUACGUAGGGUGCGAGCGUUGUCCGGAUUUAUUGGGCGUAAAGGGCUCGUAGGUGGUUGAUCGCGUCGGAAGUGUAAUCUUGGGGCUUAACCCUGAGCGUGCUUUCGAUACGGGUUGACUUGAGGAAGGUAGGGGAGAAUGGAAUUCCUGGUGGAGCGGUGGAAUGCGCAGAUAUCAGGAGGAACACCAGUGGCGAAGGCGGUUCUCUGGGCCUUUCCUGACGCUGAGGAGCGAAAGCGUGGGGAGCGAACAGGCUUAGAUACCCUGGUAGUCCACGCUGUAAACGGUGGGUACUAGGUGUGGGGUCCAUUCCACGGGUUCCGUGCCGUAGCUAACGCUUUAAGUACCCCGCCUGGGGAGUACGGCCGCAAGGCUAAAACUCAAAGGAAUUGACGGGGCCCCGCACAAGCGGCGGAGCAUGCGGAUUAAUUCGAUGCAACGCGUAGAACCUUACCUGGGUUUGACAUGGAUCGGGAGUGCUCAGAGAUGGGUGUGCCUCUUUUGGGGUCGGUUCACAGGUGGUGCAUGGCUGUCGUCAGCUCGUGUCGUGAGAUGUUGGGUUAAGUCCCGCAACGAGCGCAACCCUUGUUCACUGUUGCCAGCACGUUAUGGUGGGGACUCAGUGGAGACCGCCGGGGUCAACUCGGAGGAAGGUGGGGAUGACGUCAAGUCAUCAUGCCCCUUAUGUCCAGGGCUUCACGCAUGCUACAAUGGCUGGUACAGAGAGUGGCGAGCCUGUGAGGGUGAGCGAAUCUCGGAAAGCCGGUCUCAGUUCGGAUUGGGGUCUGCAACUCGACCUCAUGAAGUCGGAGUCGCUAGUAAUCGCAGAUCAGCAACGCUGCGGUGAAUACGUUCCCGGG
Molecule: ribosomal RNA, 1343 nt
Filed under: uncultured bacterium
Lineage: Bacteria
Description: 16S ribosomal RNA
Rfam family: Bacterial small subunit ribosomal RNA
Source: RNAcentral